UACGUAGGGAGCAAGCGUUGUCCGGAAUCAUUGGGCGUAAAGCGCGCGUAGGCGGCCCUGUAAGUCCGUUGUGAAAGUCAAAGGCUCAACCUUUGAAAGCCGAUGGAUACUGCAGGGCUAGAGUCCGGAAGAGGCGACUGGAAUUCCUGGUGUAGCGGUGGAAUGCGCAGAUAUCAGGAGGAACACCGGUGGCGAAGGCGGGUCUCUGGGCCGAAACUGACGCUGAGGAGCGAAAGCGUGGGGAGCAAACAGG
RNAcentral lists this ribosomal RNA (253 nucleotides) under uncultured bacterium. Its description in RNAcentral is "partial 16S ribosomal RNA". It matches the Rfam family "Bacterial small subunit ribosomal RNA", at positions 524 to 776 of the family's 1533-position model. The record is from RNAcentral.